UUUCCGUAGGUGAACCUGCGGAAGGAUCAUUAAAGUUAUAGUCCCCUGGCCCUCUGGGCUGGGGUCUUCUAUACCACCCUUUGUUUAUUACACCUUUGUUGCUUUGGCAGGCCUGCCUCCGGGCUGCUGGCUCCGGCCGGCGAGCGUCUGCCAGAGGACCUAAACUCUGUUUGUCUAUAACGUCUGAGUACUAUAUAAUAGUUAAAACUUUCAACAACGGAUCUCUUGGCUCUG
This 234-nucleotide unclassified non-coding RNA is filed under the name plant metagenome. RNAcentral describes it as "partial contains small subunit ribosomal RNA, internal transcribed spacer 1, and 5.8S ribosomal RNA". The record is from RNAcentral.